Molecule: long non-coding RNA, 1683 nt
Filed under: Lactuca sativa (garden lettuce)
Lineage: Eukaryota; Viridiplantae; Streptophyta; Magnoliopsida; Asterales; Asteraceae
Description: long non-coding RNA (LSAT_LNC006998)
Source: RNAcentral
ACAAGUUGAAUCAGCCACUGUGUCCUGCUUGGAAUUUUUCCAAGUAACUGCUCCUCCGUUUAAAGUAAAGACCCAGCCUGACUGAGAGCGGAAAUUGUCCCCAUCAGUCUGGAAGCUAGCAUCACUAUACCCUACUACUCUCAAGUCAUCACUCCCAUCGAGGGUAAGGACCCAGUCCUUAGUCCUCCGCAGGUACUUGAGAAUGUUCUUUACCGCAGUCCAGCGAUCCUUGCUAGGAUUCCCCUAAUAUCUGCUGACCAUGCUCAACGCAAAGGCCACAUCAGGACGAGUACAAGUAAUAGCAUACAUGAUCGAGCCUACAACGGAAGCAUAUAGAACUCGGAUCAUCUUUGCUAUCUCAGCCUUUUUACUCGGGCUCUGCGUCUUACUCAGUCUGGCGUUACUCUGGAUCGGUAACUCGCCUUUCUUGGAGUUCUGCAUGUUGAACCUUUUCAACACUUUAUCCACAUAGGUUCUCUUACUAAGUCCAAUUAGUCUCUUACUCUUUUCUCUCAAGAUUCUUAUCCCUAGGAUAUAAGCAGCUUCUCCAAGAUCCUUCAUAGCGAAACACUUCCCAAGGCAGGACUUCACUUCUUGUAGAGUUGGGAUGUCAUUUCCUAUGAGUAGUAUGCCAUCCACAUACAAUACCAAAAAAGCUAACUAUACUCCCACUAGCCUUGACAUAUACACAAGAUUCAUCUUUGCUCCUCGAAAAGCCAAACUCUUUGACUUUCUCAUCGAAACAAAGAUUCCAUCCGUGAGGUGCUUGUUUCAAUCCAUAGAUGGAUUUCUCAAGCUUACACACUCUAUUAGGAUACUCUGCACUGACAAAACCCUCUGGCUGACUCAUGUAAACAUCCUUAGCCAACUUCCCAUUAAGGAAAGCGGUUUUGACAUCCAUUUUCCAUAUUUCAUAGUCAUGAAAUGCAGCAAUGGCUAGCAUAACCCUAAUAGACUUAAUCUUCGCUACUGGUGAAAAGGUCUCAUUAUAAUCAACACCCGGAGUUUGAGAAAAUCCCUUUGAAACCAGUCGUGCCUUAUAAGUGUGUACAUUAUCGUCCAUGUGGGUCUUCUUCUUGAAGAUCCAUUUGCACCCGACCGUCUUACGACCUGGUACAUUGUCAACCAAAUUCCAAAAUUGAUUGUCAUACAUGGACUGUAUCUCUCUUUCAAUAGCCUCUUUCCAUUUAGCAGCCUCAGGGCCUGCCAUGGCUUCCGUGUAGCUGUUAGGUUCAUCCAGACUUACCAAUGUGCUAUCACUGAUAAGUGUAUCACCUUCCAUAGUAAUAUGGAAACCAUAGUAUUGCUUAGGUGCAUUUCUAACUCUCGUGGAACGCUCAGAGGUACAAGCUCUUAUGUCGGAUCAACAGGAGUUUCCUCCUCAGGUUGAUUGCUAGGUUUUGAGGUUCCUUCAUCACUUGACUCUUGAAUUUCUUCAAGGUCAAUUUGCCUCCCACUGUUUCCUUGCCUCAUGAACUCUCUCUCGCGAAAGACUCCUCUCCUUGCUACACCUCUCCCUUCGAGGUUCGAGUUUAUCGNGGUAAAGACCCAGCCUGACUGAGAGCGGAAAUUAUCCCUAUCAGUCUGGAAGCUAGCAUCACUAUACCCUACUACUCUCAAGUCAUCACUCCCAUCGAGGGUAAGGACCCAGUCCUUAGUCCUCCGCAGGUACUUGAGAAUGUU